This 331-nucleotide ribosomal RNA is filed under the name uncultured bacterium. Its description in RNAcentral is "bacterial SSU rRNA". It matches the Rfam family "Bacterial small subunit ribosomal RNA", at positions 568 to 898 of the family's 1533-position model. The record is from RNAcentral.
CGCGUAGGCGGAUGUUACAGUCAGGCGUGAAAUUCCUGGGCUCAACCUGGGGGCUGCGUUUGAUACGUGAUGUCUGGAGUUCGGAAGAGGGUCGUGGAAUUCCCAGUGUAGAGGUGAAAUUCGUAGAUAUUGGGAAGAACACCGGUGGCGAAGGCGGCGACCUGGUCCGGUACUGACGCUGAGGCGCGAAAGCGUGGGGAGCAAACAGGAUUAGAUACCCUGGUAGUCCACGCUGUAAACGAUGUGCGCUGGAUGUUGGGUGACAUAGUCAUUCAGUGUCGUAGCUAACGCGAUAAGCGCACCGCCUGGGGAGUACGGCCGCAAGGUUGAA